RNAcentral lists this ribosomal RNA (3563 nucleotides) under Lepocinclis buetschlii. RNAcentral describes it as "partial large subunit ribosomal RNA". It matches the Rfam family "Eukaryotic large subunit ribosomal RNA", at positions 54 to 2406 of the family's 3401-position model. Lineage: Eukaryota; Euglenozoa; Euglenophyceae; Euglenales; Phacaceae. The record is from RNAcentral.
AGGAAGCCCAAGCAACUGCGAUUGCUUCAGUAAAGGCGAUUGAACUGGCAUCACACAUGGCUCAGCCCGAAAAGAGAUUCCCUCCUGCACUGCCUUGGCAGACUGCAGUCGGCUACUGUGGGUUUCACCAGAUGCUGUGGGCUAUGGAGUGGGUGGCUGUGUUGUGGCUGGCUGUGGCACCAGGAAGCACCCUGGAAUGGUUUGCAACAGAGGGAUAUUGCCCCGUACUCACUGGAGUGUGCCAUGGCCACCGCAGCAUUGCUGCCUGUAUCCAAGAGUAGAGCGGCUUGGGACUGCAGUUUGAAGUGGGACGUGUAUCCGUCCUAAGGUGGAAUACUGACAUGGGACCGAUAGAGCACAAGUAGAGUGAUUGAAGGAUGCAAAGGACUUUGCAAAGAGGGUUAAAAGUCCCUGAAGCCUCACAUGAAUCGGCGGUGAGUAGUGCUGUGGCCUAUGUGGUGCAGGCAGUGGACUGUGCUGGCUGGACUGUGUGCCUGCUGGCCAGAUCCCUGUCUCACCCAGUGAGAUUCCAAGCAGCCUUGGGCCAGCCCAGAGCUGGCCACUGAGCCUAUUCCUUCAGGAGUGGAUUGCAAUCGUGGCAGCAUUGCUGGUGGCACUCAGUAUGCCAGGGCCUGAGGUUGUUGAGAACUCAGAGGGCUUACGUCAACACAAGGCCUCUCCAGGUGUGGAGUGUGGUGGACUCCGUCUCCUCACGGUGUUGGAAGAAUCCCACCCCCACCAAGGGGAUGGCUGAGUGAUGGAAGAGCUUGUGACACAGAGUGCUGGACCUGGUGUGCCUCCGGGCAUGCCAGUCACUGCUGCCCAGACAUGGCUUCGGGGUUCACUGGUUUGUGGUGGUUGCACCACACGUUGGUGGCCACGGCAGGCUGUGUGGAUCCUCCAGAUGGUGCACAGUGUAGAUGCGCAGAGCUUGGUGCAUGGCAGUGCUGCUCACUGCCCGUCUUGAAACACGGACCAAGGAGUCUAUGGAGCUUGCAGGUCUGCUGGUGUCAUCAUGGAAAACCCUUCAAGGGCAUGGUGAAAGCAACUUCUACCCAGAUGGUGCAGUUUGUGGUGAAUGGCAGAAAACCCACCCSAGGAGUGGGCAGUGUGGCUCCCGCUGUGUGCCCCUCCAGAGGUGACAGAGUAUGCCAUGGCUUGUGACUGCUUCUGCAUGGGACACCGGUCCCAAUGUCCAGUGGACAGGGUUUUGAGUGCUUGCAAGGUCCAUGGGACCCGAAAGGUGGUGAACUAUACCGUACCAUGAUGAAGCCGUGGGAAACUGCGGUGGAGGUCAGUCGCUGUUCUGACGUGCAAAUUGUGUAGCCUGAGUGUGGCAUAGGGGUGAAAGGCCAAUCGAGCCACCUAGUAGCUGGUUUCCCUCGAAGUUUCCCUCAGGAUAGCUGGGCUCGAGUGCACCCAGACUGUGAGUGGUUAUGUCCGGUAAAGCAACGCAUGAGAGGCAACCCUGGGGAGGCUUCCCUCCUCAACCUAUUCUCGAACUGUGAAUGGGCAUGGCAAACCCAAAAGGCAUGCUUCUUCACCGAUGCCUGAGGCAGUUAACCCUGUUCUCCAUGGCUUCUGAGCAUGUUUGUGGUGGCUGCUUUGGUGUCAAACCGGGGACCCUGUGUCUCCAGAGACAACCUGCCUGCGUGCUCCGUGGUCACUCCAGCUCCUGGCCUGGACUCUGCUGCUGAGGAAGUGAGGAGGAAUGCUGGUGAACACAGAAGCCCUUUGUGGGUGACCGUGAGUAGCCUGUCUUCUGAGGAGCUGACUUGGUGGCAAGUCCAAGUGCCAAAUGGAGAUCUGCUGGACCCAGGACCGCAUCUUUGGGUGCUGAGUUGAUGUCUCAACAAGACUGAAGCUGCUACUGUGGUGAACAAGUGUGCCUAUGUGGACCAGGAUUGGUAAGCAGUGCUGGUGAUGCGGGGUGCUCCGAGAGUGGACUUACAGAUCCCGAGUGCUGGCUCAUACAUAGAUCCCACAAAGGAUGUUGCCUGCUAUGGAUAGCAGGACGGUGGCCAUGAAGGUUGGAACCCGCUGAGGAAUGUGUAACAACUCACCUGCCGAAGUGUGCAGCUCCGAAAAUGGAUGGUGCCCAAGUCAGUGAAGCUGAACUUGCCUUACAGUCCACCGCCACUGUGGCAGCAGAGCAGAGCAUUGUUGUGUAGAAAGGACUUGGGAGACUGCUGUGCAAGCUGGGGUUGACCCUGGCUGGAGUGUCUUCUGGCGCAGAUCUUGGUUGCAGUAGCGAGUACUCCAUCGAGUGAAGAGUGGAAACAUCCCGCUGUGUGUGGUUGAGGACUGGAGUGGAGCAGGUUUCCGCACCAAACAGCCGUUGAAUGCGGGUCAACCGACCGUGAGCCAAGUGGUAAAUCACCAGACAACCAAAGCUGCCAUGGCCUGGAUUGGAUCUGAAGGAGAAUGGUGGGUACUGUGGCUGGGUCCCUGGACUGCCCUGCGGUCACCACGGUGUCCAACGGUGUCAGCCCACACCCAAGCCCAGAGGCAGAGCAGAAGGCCCCCAUUGUGCCUGAGGAUUGGUCCAGGUGUCUGGCAGGAGUGGCAAACAGGCAAGCAUGUGCAACAUUCUGCUGUGAUGGGCUUGGGACACCUCAAGUGACGGUGACAUCUUGUGAUCUUGUGCUCAGGCAUCGGGGCAGUGCACCCUCCAUGGAGUUCUCGUUUCCUCCUGAUGCAGUCUCAUGUGGGCUACCAAUCAGCAUGACAGAUGGUGACGUAUGCCCUCCGUUCAGCAAGGCAGCAUGCUCUCAGUGCUGGUGGUGUCUCCCAAAGUGACUUGGCAGUCUGUGUGUGUGUUCUGUGUGGAUCCCCUGUUGACACAGGGGGAAGCAUCAGAGACAUCAUGGAAUGGCAAAACAAGACCACACGGUGGUCACUGGCUCCACUGAACAGCCUGUGGCAACAUUGUGUCCCUGGUCCCUGGCCCUCGUACUGAAUCACCGCAGCCGGUCUCCUCGGCUAAACGCCGCUGGUCAACGGAUUGAAUGCAGCUAAGGGAAGUCGGCAAACUAGCCAUGUACCUUUGGAAGAUGUGGUGGCUCCAGAGGCCAAGUCAUUGGGCCCCGCUGCAGGCAGCAUCUUUGUUGGGGAGAUUGCCUUGUGUGGUGGCUUCGGUUGCUGUGUGGGGAUUGAUCACCCCAGCUGGUGCUGUUAUGGCUUGCUAUGCAGAGUCUCUGUGGUGGGGGGUCAGGAAGCCUUCGGGCAUCCUGUGCCCACCCCGGUGUCUACACAGUGGCCCACUUGGAACUGUUGCUGUGCAAGGGAAUCUGACUGUUUAAUUGAAACACAGCUUUGUGACGGGACCAGCUGGCUGGUACCAUGAGGUGACUUCUGCCCAGUGCUCUGAUUGUCAUGCAGAAGAGAUUCAUGCAAGCGCGGGUAAACGGCGGGAGUAACUAUGACUCUCUUAAGGUAGCCAAAUGCCUCGUCAACCAAUUAUUGACGCGCAUGAAUGGAUCAACUGAGAUUCCUGCUGUCCCUAGGUGCUGUCCGGUGAACCAACAGCCAAGGGAACGGGCUUGGGCGUGUCAGCGGGGAAA